UACAGAGGGUGCAAGCGUUGUCCGGAAUUACUGGGCGUAAAGGGCGCGUAGGCGGUCCAAUAAGUAGGGGGUGAAAUCUCACGGCUCAACCGGGAGGCUGCCUUCUAGACUGUUGGACUUGAGCACGGUAGAGGCAGAUGGAAUUCCCGGUGUAGCGGUGGAAUGCGUAGAGAUCGGGAAGAACACCAGUGGCGAAGGCGAUCUGCUGGGCCGUUGCUGACGCUGAGGCGCGACAGCGUGGGGAGCAAACAGGAUUAGAUACCCUCGUAGUCC
RNAcentral lists this ribosomal RNA (273 nucleotides) under uncultured prokaryote. Its description in RNAcentral is "partial 16S ribosomal RNA". It matches the Rfam family "Bacterial small subunit ribosomal RNA", at positions 524 to 796 of the family's 1533-position model. The record is from RNAcentral.